RNAcentral lists this long non-coding RNA (9683 nucleotides) under Hordeum vulgare. RNAcentral describes it as "long non-coding RNA (HVUL_LNC021179)". Lineage: Eukaryota; Viridiplantae; Streptophyta; Magnoliopsida; Poales; Poaceae. The record is from RNAcentral.
AUGAGAAGAUGAGAGUUAGAAGGGGAGAUUACCCCCAUAAUUAACACAUGUUAAUUAAACUCUAACAAAUCUCUCCCACGCUCCAGAUCCGAUCGAGACACCUUGUCGCCCCACCUCUGUCUCGCUCGUCUCGUCUCCCCUCCCUCCAACCCGUGAUUCCCACCACCGCCGCCGCCGCCGCCGCCCACCGUCGACCUCGUCUCCACCACCCACCCUCUACCCUUCCCCUCGCCUUCACCCCUAGAUCCACCAGCCCAGGCGCGGCCAUGGCAUCCCCCCUCCUCCUUCUGUGCUAGGGUUAGGGUUUGCGGUCGGAGCAGACAAGAGUCGGCUAGCGAUGGACGCUCGUCGCGGGAUAAGAAGGGCUGCCUCGAGGCCCUCACCGACUCCUAUUCGCUUGUCAUGGUCGAGCUGGGCCAUGGGAGACGUCCGUCAGUACGAGCACUAAGAGCUUCCGAUAUGGUAAGUUAUUAUCCCCCCUCUCUCUCUCUCUCUCUCAGUAUCCCGCUCUCAAUCGCUCUCCCUCCCUCCCUGCAGAAGCCACCAGAUGCAAGGCUGGAACCCGCGCCGGAACUGAAAGCCGAGCAUGCUGCUGCCGGCGUCUUCCAUCCCCCCUAGCCGUGACCCUCGCUGACCCGCGUCGGAUUUGAAGGCAUCUCUGUAGGAGGAGGUAGUGGAUGACAGUGUGCUCCCAGCUCCCCUAGUGCAGCAUCGACAGCAAGAAUAAGACAAUCAGGAAGAUGGCAGCAGUAGUUCCUUAGAGUAGUACAGGUACGUACAACUGAUUCACGUUCUUCAUGUUUCCAUCGAAUAUUCUCUCCUCUGACAUGUAUCUCUCUCUUCUGCUCCUCAAUAUGCACUCUUAUGCAGUCGUUCUACUAUCACCGUAAGGCAGCUGAGUCGUCAUGCACACACCAAAUGCACAACUGCAGAGCAGUAUGGUAUGAUGGAUCGCCCACCGGGUUCAGGUACUUGCUGAGAAAACCCACUCUAAAUACCGAUAAAGCACUGCAGAGGCCGGUCUGCACGCAGCUCUGAAUCCAGCCCGCCGAACCAGCUUUAGGAUUUGUGCCGUUAGGCGUAUUGCAUUUUCCACCGCCACGUGAAAAGCCGUUUACCACCAUAUUUUCUGACAAGGCCCAUGCGGGAGGCACAUGUGUAGAACCUGGGCGAAGCAUAAUCACGUAUGUUAAUUAGCACAUAAUACAGUAGUUUGUUCCAAAAAUAAUAUCUAAUUAGCACCUUAACCUUUUGUUCUUUAUGAAAAGAGUCACGUAUGUUAAUUGUUUGCUAAAAAAGCAACAGCUAAUUGCACAAUAAUUUGAUGAAUUUGAUAUAUAAACAAAUAUUUACCAAGAUGAUAGCAAAAAAGCAAACAUAAUACCAUCAGUAUUUUUCUUCAACAAAACAAACAUGUGUACCAGUAGUGUUCCUGCACAUUUUAUUUCGUUAGACAAGAAAACAAUUUAAUGGAGAGCGUAUAGUAUAUUACUUACAAAGAAAUUAGGUCAUACAUGUUCCUAGCAUGGCUUGUGUACAUCUAUUUUAUUUACUUUUGUUUUGCGGGGCAUCUAUUUUCUUUACUGACUCUCUUAGAAUGAUGCGAAUACACGUACUGAUUAUUGAUAUGUUGCAAUCUAGACAAAUUAUAAUAAUGUCAUUUGUAGUAUGUAUACAUUUUUCUAGGAUCACAUGGAUACGUAUAACAUUAUACAAUAUGAUAAUUAUUUGUCUUCAUAUGCUAGAUACAACAUAUACAUAUGGGUCGAAUAUGAUUUUUUAUUAAUAAGUAUGUGGGAAAUAUCUUUAAACACUCCUUUUUAACAAGUAAUUGCCAUAAUUAAAAUACUUUAUGUUGUCAAAUAUAUCCUUCAUGGUUCAAACCAAAUAUUUCUCUUACCUCUUAGGGAGAAAUAGGGGUCAUCUUAAAUGAACUUUUUGUUAAAAGAGGCACAAUUAUUUACUACCUCCAUCUAGGUUUAUUAGUCUCCGUUGUAUUUAUUUCAAGUUUUGAUUAGUAAAUAUUAAUGUAUGUCAUAAAAUAUUAUAUUGUUGAAUUUGUAUUUAGAUGGAAAAUUUAAAUUCUAAUGAUAUUAUUGAUGCUACAUAUAACAAAUAUUUUAUUGCUUAAUGUUAUUUGUCAAAACAUGACCCAAAAUGCGAGGGGCUAGUAAUUCCAGAAGGAAGUAGUAAUUAUUUGCUCCAGAACAGUAGCUAAUUGCACACUAAUUUAAGGAUUGGUUUUAUAUAAACAGAGAAAUGCAUGCAAUGAUGAGGUGACCGAAUAGAAAAUUGAUACUUUUUGAUGCCAUGAACGGGUGAGCAAUAAGUUCAUCACAUAUUAAUUUCGAGCUGUCAAAUCAGUGAUUCAUCACGCUCAUUAAACAGCAGUUUCAUUGCAUUCACUCGAGCCUGACAAAUGGGCAACUCCCAUACGGUUGCACUAUUCACGCAUAUAUGUAUAUUGCCCCGUAUAAUUUAGAAAAGCCUGACACACUUAAUCACGAGGCCCAUAUCCACCAAGGGGAUAAUAAGCUGCCUGGCGCUCGGCCUCUGCGACCUAUUUGGCAGUAGCAGGUGAUCUCAUUUCUUUUCAACAGAGAGCCUCAUAGAUACUCUCUCAUUUAAACUGUAGCUCACAACACUCUUCCAUUCAGAUUGUAGCUCACCUUGUUGUCUCACAAAUACUUUUGCAUAUCCACAUGCUUGCACUUGCCCAUGCCCUUGCUUCCCUAGAAUUAAAUGGAGCACUGCUAUUUCGUGUUCCUGUGCUAACGAGUAGCUAGCUUACGAACAGUGCAGUCAAGAUCACAAGGACGCUCGUGGGAGUUUCGCUGAAAGAAUGGCCAAGGCUCAUAUGGUCUGUCAGUUUCAGGCUGCAAGCAUCUUGUAUACCACACCAUUGAAGAAGCAGCCAACAAACAGUCCACAACGCACUGCAUCUCCACUAAGUUGUCACGGAUAUUAGUAGAAGAAAACACCCAAUCUGCCCAAGUUUUUCCUCUUACUGUACAUUUUUUUCUUGUUGCACGUGCCAAGUAUUUUGGUUCCAGUCCAUGCAACCAUAGAUAGUUUGAGAAGUCUUGUAACUAGUUCAGUUGCCCCCCAAUCUGUUCAAUUGAGUGUCGAGUCUAUCCAUGCAUCAUCCCUUGUGCUUUCACAGUUAGUAACUUCCUAGCCCUGAUUAUUUCUAUGCUCAAACAUGUGAACCACAACGGCGCUGACUUCAAUCUGUUUUAGAUAUGCUUGAGCAGAGCCAACCUCAAUGUAACAUGCUGCUUGUACAAAGUGAAUACCUGAUGGGUGCGACAUUUUUAAAUCAAGUUGUCUAUUCACUAUGUGACACUGGUUGUACACUAAAAUUACAUUAGUUUGUCAUAUUUGCUAUUAAUGCAUUGUCCAACUCAUGAAUUUCUUGAAGUGGUGCAUGUAUAUAUUUGAUUGCUUAUUAAUUAGAAAAUGUCUUCAUCUAGUCUUGCUUCAUCAUCAAAUUUGUGAUACAUAUUUGGUGAACAUUUUUUCUCCUAUGUUAUUCAAUAAAAUCUAUAUGAUUUCUAUUAUUGACAUAAAAAAAUAUGACCUAAAUUACCUCUAGGUAUAUGCAGAAUUGCAGAUGCCAUCUACAAGUGAUUUCUAUUCUUGACAUAACAAGAUGAGCUAAAUUACUUCUACCUUUUCCAACUCAGACUUGUUAACUAUUGUUUCAUACUUUUGUUAGCAUAUCAGCAAGUCCGAAAUUGUGAAGCAUUUCUAUUCUUAUAUGUUCAUUCUUAUUUUUUGCACAGGUGAAGUGCGAAUCCAAGUCCGAAGCUGUGAAGCAUAUCACCAAAGAGUAGCAUAUUAUGUAUUGUAGUUGUAGGCAGUAGUAGGCUUAUUUGGGUUGUAGUAUAAUGUAAUGAUUGUAAUAGACUAAUGUAGUGUUGUUUUGGACGAAUUCCAUUUGCUCUUUGGAUUCUUCAAAAUAAUGAUUUUGUAUGUGAUUUGAAUACCUCGAAAAUGGUAACCUGGCAAAGGGGUUCAAGUUAUAAUGGUUGUUUGACAUAUUUUGAAAUUUCUGAUGCGUGGGACCAAUUUUGAGAUUAGGAUGACAUGUGGGACCAAUCUGAUUAGUGGGACCAGUACAAAAGUAAAAUGAAUAACAAAAUCAAUAGAAAGUAAAAGGUCACAAUCCAAAAUUAAAAAGGCUAAGAUGUUUUGGAUUAUUGGGCCAGGCCCAUGCAGCUAAGCAAAAUAAAGAGAAAAAAACAUUAAAUGGGCUGGAUUAAUGGGCUCGACCCAUUGAAAACAUUAAAUUGGACCGGGCUGAUUCUAUGCCACGUCAGCUUGACAUGUCAGAUCUGACGUGGCGUGGGCAGAUUGCUAGUGACCAAAAAAAUUCAAUGCUUUCGUUUGGUCGUAAAAUCUUACGACCAAUCCAGCAAAAAGGUCGUUAUAGUUCAUUAGAGACCCUCAGCUUUUGACCGUUUGUUUUUGGUCGUAAAAGGUCGCAAAUGAAAAUCAAUGACCAUUCGGUGACUAAUAUUGAAGGUCGUUAGUUGACAUAUUUGUUGUAGUGGACGUUCUUCACAUAAAAGAACUCAUUUUGCCACAUCUUGACGGAGUCCUGCAGCGGCAUCUGCGGGAAGCCAGACGUAGUUCGAUGACGCACCAGCACGGCGCCGCAAGGGGUCAUCGGCUUGGGGCCUGAAUGCCCCGUCGCCUCAGCCUUGUCCAUCUUCAUAGACUGCUGCUUGAAGAAGAACAGCUUCCACCACAGGUCCAAGCGGGGUUCGAUCCGCAUGAAACCCUCGCACAGGACGACAAAGGCGGUGAGCUGGAGGAUGGCGUUGGGCGCCAGGUGAUGCGGCUGCAGGCCGAAGAAGGUGAGGAAGCGAGCGAAGAAGUCGCUCGCCGGAAGGCCGAAGCCGUGGAAGAAGUGUUCUUCGAACACUACCACCUCGCCCUUUUCGGGGGUCGGGGCUGCUUCGGCGCCCGGCACCCGCGCCGCCACAAGGUUUGCUGGAGGAAGUAUGCGGCGGUGGCGGAGCGCGUCGAUGUUCCCGUCGCUGAUGUCGCUGCCCACCCAAGCGCCUCGAAACUGCCCCUUCUUAGGGGCGCCGCUGGACAUGGUGGGUGGCGGCAGAGGCUAAGACGAUCCUCGCGGCGGCCGGCAGCAAUGGCUCGAGAGGCGGUGAAGGCGGUGCAACGCUCUUCUUUCUCUGGCUCAGGGAAGAAAGGGGCGUUGGUGCGGGGCGAGAAGGGGGUGAAUGGCCUCCUCGACGCCCCCGCAUACCAUUUAAACCCCCACGAGAGAUCGUGGGGUGGGGAUCCGGUGCGCAUUACUCCCACCUCCUCCGAUUAUUACGGGAGAAUUUACGUCCCGCGGAACCCAACCGUUGAAGAAUCAAUCCGCAGAGGAUCCACACGCCCGAGGGCUGAGGAGGCGUCGUGGCGGGACCCAGGGCGCAGACCCCGUCCCGUCACCUAUACAGUUAAUCAUAGCGUCAGGCCCGGGGCCUGGUACGUGGCGCAACAGCGCUGCUUGCGGCGAAGCUGAUGCGUCUUUUGGAAGCCAGCCGGCUUCCGACCCGGCGCCUCCUGCAACAAGCGACCUAUGAAGAGCACGAGCGAGGAACCCAAGCCGGCGUGGCCUCCCGCUUUAAGGAGGCGGACCUCCCCUGCCCCGGGGACUACUAAUGGGGGGAUAACCCCGGGGUAGGCUCAUCGAGCCUACUCCUUUGCAUCCAAGAGUAAAGGGAAGCAUCAUCUUCUUCCAGACGGUCAACUCUUCUUAGCCGUGUGGAAAGCUCCGGCCGGCUAGGAGCGAGACGACAAUCCUUCCUGGCCGGUUGGAGAGCUCUCGCCAGCUAGGGACGAGACAACAUUCCCUCCUAGCCGGCUAGGAGCGAGACGACAACUUCAAGGCCAGCUAGCGAGACCGCUAGCCGGCUAGGCAGCCCUAGUCACAUCCAACCCUAGGCUGGGACUGGACUCUAUGAAUAAAGGUGGACACGCAUCAUCACACGUACUAGAUUGAGGCACACGACUCAUACAGUGUGACCGGCCAUGCCGCUGACCUAGGUCUACUCCGAUCCGUCAAACCAGCACAGUAUAGGCCCGUCGGCACCCACUCCAUUACCAAGCUUGGCAUGGUAAUAGUGGAGACGGUCGUACUGGCAACCCAUGACGAAUCUCGCAAGACGACGCCGGACGUACUACAUGUGUCCUGCGUCGACCUUACGCGAGAACUCCAUUGGCUAGCCGGCGGGUCCCAUGUCCAGAUGGGACCUCGUAGCCGACGGGCCCCUCCAAUGACAAGACCAGACUACUGUGGGUCUCCUGGCCAGCCAACAAGGCUUCUAGGUAGGCCCCUCUUUUGUACUUUUAUCCAUAUUGUAGGUUGGUGGGUUCGUCUAUAAAACCCCUCGGUCCCCCUCAAUGCAGAGGGUCGGUCAACUGCUCACACACACACAUACAGGAGAGGUAGAUGCGAAUUAGCAGUUCCUUCUUCCUCCUCCGUCAAACAGCUCAAGGAGCACACUGUAAUCCCUUUGGUGCAUCAACCAUUCCGACAGGACUAGGGGUGUUAUCUCUACUGAGAGCCCUGAACCUGGGUACAUUGUGCGUCCCUCGCUUGUACCAAUUCCGUUCUCGGAGCCCGUCGGUGUCCUUAUGGUUCCCACCACUCAUGUUUAGCCUACCCAUGGCUGAUGUCGUGAGUAAACACCGACACCAGGUGAAACAAGGAAUUUCCUCCAUAUCACAAUGAGUAAUGUGUGUGUAAUGAAAUAUCUUUCUGUUCUCCACAAGCAUAGUAACAUAGUAAUUGAGUUGUGUUCUAGUCCAGAACUUCAUGUGCCUGAUACGAAGCUUGUUGUAUGGAUUUUCUCCAGGGAAGAAAUGAUGUUCAUCAAGGAAAUCUGCUUUCAGAAACUUUGGCCUCUUUGAGUAUGGCUGAUGAGGCUUUGGUUGAAGAUUUUGAUGUUGAAUUUCAUCAAAUUGAGGAAUUUUGGCCACCACAACUGUAGUUUCAGGAUUUGCAAUAAGUGGUUCAUCAACUGAAUCUUUAUUCUGUGCUGAGGCAGUUUCUUCACGCGCUUGUUCUUCAGUUUGAGGAAUUUGCUGUGUCGUAGGUGUAGAUGUAUAUUCUGGUACAACAGUUUCAUUUUCAUUUUCACUUUCAUCAGCUUAUGCAGCUGAUUCUUGGUUUGGUGCUGAUUUCAAAUGUGAGCUCCCUUCUUCAUAGCCAGUCAGAAUUUCUAUACCUGAAGGAGAUGUAGUUGUUUGAGGAAUUUGAGAAGUCAUUGGCGAGUUUGGAUUAGCCUUUUCCCAGAAAUCAUCAUGGAUUAUAGGUGUGGUGCAACCAAUGUCCAUAUGAGCCUCUUUUUCUUCAACAAUCAUUUUUUGGGUUUUGAGGAGGAGGUGUUGAGACUUGCGGAAACUGAUCAACUUGAAUUUCCUCAUCUAUUGGUGUGGAUGCUGCAGAGCGAUUUUCAUCCAUUUCCUUAUCUUGUUCUAGAAUGAUAUGCUCUUCACCAAAUGGUACAAUCAUGUACGACGGUGGAAUGCUGAGAGGAGUUGCACCAACUGGAGCUGAUGAUGUAGUGGGACGUGUAUUGAGGCGUUUUGCUUGUGAAGACUUUGAAGGUGUUGAUGUCUUUCUCUUCUUGGCUUCCUUCUCAGCAUCUUUUGUUUUCUUUACUUCUGAGGCAGACGGAAGUGUCUCUUUCUUCACUUUUGAAGACAUUGGUGAAGGGGCAUUUUCUUCAGGCAUUGUGUAGGCAGUUUCAGGCGUGACAGAUUCUUCAGUAAUUACAUUCUGAGCAGACUCAUCAGCAGCAGGUUUUUCAUCUUCAUCAAAAUCAGCCAGUUGUAUAGUGUAGUUGGCCUGAGGAAUUGUUGGUUGCUUUGGAGCAGCAACCUUGUUGUUGUAUUCAUCAAUGGCGUCAGUUUCGGCCUUGACAAACCUCACAUUGUCACCCUUUCGGUGUGCAUGAAGAUUUGUGUAUUUGUCAGUGAGGGAUUUCAGCUCAGCUUGAGUAGAUACAAGUUUCUCAACCGUCAGGUUAAGGAGGUUUUGUUUCAAGUACUUCUCCUUUUUAACCUUUGAUGCCCGAGUUUGUUUGGCUUGCUGAUCCUUGCACUUUGCUUCAUUUAUGUAUGAGGUUACCAUGUGGCUCAGUCCAAGUGGAAGUUUCAAAUCAACAAUGGGUGUGUUUGGAUCUUCAUACCAAAGAUCGAUGAAGUUCAGCACCACUUUUGGAUCUAGUGCGAGGGGAAUGGUAUUGCCAUUAGCUUGUGCAACCCUUUCUUGUUUGUUCCUGAUAAUGGCUUGAAGAGUUUCAUCAUCAUAUUCCUCACUUCCCUCUGUUGCAGAAGGAAUAUUGAGGACAACUUUGCUUGGGCACGACCUUGUUCCUCUCCUAGCAGUCAUCUUCGUCUUCAGUAUGCGAGGUGAGGAUUUGUGAGCUGAACCAGAGGCAAAUGGUACUGAGGAAUUUGCAUUCCUUGUUUGAUGCUACCUGGGCUGUGGCUACAGAGGGAGUGAAGACUGUGCUGUAGUUGAUGACUUGCAGCCGUUGUUGUUUCUGUCUGAGGAAUUUGCUCUUUGGAUAAUGUUGUUGAGGGUUUUGACUUGACACCUGAUUUCUUCAUCAGUGUCUUCUUGAGAGGUUGUUCUCUAGCAGAAGCCUUAGCAACAGAGGAGGAGGCAGCAACAGCUCCAGCACCAAAAUCCUCAUUGAACUUUGUUAGAUCUUCAUUUGUCUUUUUCGUCAGCUUGGCCAAAUACUUGUCUUUUUCUUCAGGAUAGUCUUCAAGUGUGGCCACGCUUGAGGGGUGCACUAGUGGAAUUCAGUUAUUUGCCGUCUGCCAGAUCUUUGCCGUCUGCUGGCUGAUGGCAAAAAGUGUCUUUGCUGUCAGCUUCCAAAAAGCGGACGACAAAGAACUGGCUGAUGGCAUAGAUAGUCUUUGCCAUCAGUCACUUCGUUCCCGUCAGUCGCAGACGACAAAGAGACGCACAACAAAUGGAAAAGCAUAGGUACGGACCACCUGACUGCGGGGAUGUUAGGUCAAACUCGAGUCUCUUCUUUGUCGUCUACUAGCGGACGGCAAAGAGUCCGGAGAAAGACAACGAAGAGUCUAGACUCUUUGCCGCCCGCCAACACACGACAAAGAGCUAACAUCUGUAACGACUAUUUUCCCCCACCCCGGCCCCUCUCUCUCAUUCACUCACACACGCUCCACCCACUCUUCCACUGCUUUCCCGAUGCCCACCGCCGCCACCACCGUCGCCACCCAACUGGCUCUAUCGCGCCGCCACCCCACCGCCCCCGGCGCCGCCGCCCGACAGCCCCCCAACGCCCCGCCGCUCACGACGCCCUAGACGCCCCCUCUAGUGAGCCCCCCACGCAAUAUGUGUGUUUCUGGGUUAAUUUUUUAGUUUAUUAGGUUUAGGUUAGUUAGUUAGCUUGCUAAAUUAGUUAGUUUAGUUAGUUAGCUUGGUUAGUUAGUUAGUUAGCUUAAUAGAAAGAAGAGGAAGAAGAAGAAGAAGAAGAAGAGGAGGAGAAGAGGAGGAUGAGGAGGAGGAGGAGAAGUGGAAGAAUAAGAGGAGGAGAAGAAAAAAAUAAGAAGGAUAAGAAGACAAGAAGAAGAGAAGUAGAAGAGAAGAAGAAGAAGAAAAGAAGAAGAGAAGAAAAAAAAAA